Molecule: long non-coding RNA, 638 nt
Organism: Bubalus bubalis (water buffalo)
Lineage: Eukaryota; Metazoa; Chordata; Mammalia; Artiodactyla; Bovidae
Exons: 2
Source: RefSeq, a predicted model, not a curated record
CAUUUUUUGAUUUAUUGUAAUAACCAAUUGAAAAAGUAUAUAACUCCCUUUUCUAAGAGUAGCGAGAGGGGCACUCUUUGUCUCCCUUCUGAUGUCUAUGUCAGAAGCUCUCUCUGUCCUCUUGCACUUUAAUAAAACUCUGUUACACAGAAGCUCUUGAGUGAUCAAGUCUGGUCCCUGGUCCUGAAGCUAAAUCUUCUUCUUUGGAGAUCACAAAUCUGACAUCACUCUCCAUAAUCUAUCUUCUUGGGGGCUCGUCUGGGAUCUUCAGGACAAGGUGACCAGGGCAACCGUGAAGGUGAAUAAGUACAUUCAAGAAAAAGUGGCCAGCAAAGCUUCUCAAAAAACUGCCACCUCAAAGAAACUUAAAAUCAGAGGUUCAAAUCUCUGUAGCCAGUGUUCCAAGGUAAAUGAAGAGCUGAAUCAGAACAAACUGGAGGAGAUCCCAGAGAUCAUGGAGACCCCUGCCGAUCCAGCUGGACCAGUGGGCAGCCAGGGACCUCAGAGCAUGGCUAAAGACCUCAGAAAUCUUCAGGGGUCUCACCAUUAAGAAAUGACCAACAGAACAGACAUUGAAACUUAUACCAACAGCAGCAUUAAUAAGGAGAAGUAAAUAAAAUCAACCUGCUGUUAAAUUA